RNAcentral lists this unclassified non-coding RNA (245 nucleotides) under Hevea brasiliensis (rubber tree). The record is from RNAcentral. Lineage: Eukaryota; Viridiplantae; Streptophyta; Magnoliopsida; Malpighiales; Euphorbiaceae.
GGGUGGCAAUGGCGGCUACUAAUUUCAAUUGGCGAUGGAUUGACUUAUUUUACCGUUGUUAGCAUGUGGUUUUUGUGAUUUCGUUUGUUAGAAUAAAUUUUGAGGGGUUUAAAAGCUUCUUACAUAAUGGCUGUUCACAAGUGACUGGGGUGGUUCUUUUCAUCAUCAUUAUUUUUUAGAAGUUUCAUGAUCAGUUAACUCUUUGGAGGGAACAUGUUUUCUUCAUGGUGGCAAAUUAGUUAAGG